Molecule: non-coding RNA, 126 nt
Organism: Triticum aestivum (bread wheat)
Lineage: Eukaryota; Viridiplantae; Streptophyta; Magnoliopsida; Poales; Poaceae
Source: Rfam
CAUGUACUCCCUCCAACCGAAAAAACUUGUCCCUCAAAUGGAUGUAUCUAGCACCAAGUUAGUGCUAGAUACAUCCAUUUGAAAGAUAAGCUUGGGACAAGCUUUUCCGGAUGAAGAGAGUAUUUA